UCCGACUUCGGAAAACAGACUGACAACGUUUCUUUGAAGUAUAAAAUAUAAUUGUAUUUACUUUUACAUGACAUCAACAUUCUAGUGCCAUAUUAUUGUGCUGUUACUGGAUUACUUAAUGAAAGCUAAUAUCCUUCUUUGCUAGAUAUAAUUAUGUUAAAGAGUUUGGAUCGGCUUGCGCCAUGGCUGGACUUCCUGGAUAUCUUACAGUUACACAUAUUUAGUGACACGUAAUCUCUACUUAGAGAGUCCCCUUUGGAGAUACGAUAUGAAGCUGCAAUGGUUUUGAGUGCCGUUGGUGAUUCAUUAGGGUAUAGAAACGGGAAAUGGCUUAAAUGUACAAAAGGAUCUCAUAUUUAUAAAGAACUUACAGAACUUGGGAGAGUAAAUAGUAUAAAUAUCAAACCUCCGGAGUGGAGACUUAGUUACUGCACCUUGCUUCAUAGACACACUGCACAUGCACUUACUGUAGUCAUGUAUAAAACAGCAAAUGACUUCGCAUACUGGCGUUUAGCGAAAUAUUACAAGAGUAAUAUAUAUGAUAUUGAUAUACGCCAUCCUGACGAAACGUUCGUUGCUUCACGAGAACUUCUAAAUCCUGACAUUGACACAGAAUGCAUUGUUCCUUUCAACGACGAUAGUGUGAGUUCUGCAGCUGCUGUAAGGGCAAUGUGCAUAGGUUUGCGACAUCCUAAUGACUGGGACGUAAACAAUUUGAUAAAAAUCAGCAUAGAGAGUGGUCGAAUGACACAUCAUCAUCCAGUUGGUUACCUAGGUUCUCUAGUCACUGCAUUAUUUACGUCAUACGCUAUCUAGAAGAUUCAAGUUCGGCAGUGGGGAAGCAAAGUGAUGAAAAUUUUUCCUAUAGCGUUAGAAUAUGUCAAAGAAAAAGGCAUUGCUGUAGAUGAAAACGUUAGGACUUGGGACGAAUUCAUAGAAAAAUGGAAAACCUAUUUAAAACUUAGAGGAAUUGAGACCGGCACUGCUGAUCCAAUCUUUCCUGACGGUUAUAACAUGAACAUGAGUGAAAAAUGUUAUAAAUCAAUUUCCACCAAUUAUCGACCUGGCAGAAGUGAUUGUGAAGCAACUUUAAUCGCAUAUGACGCAUUUCUUGCUUCUAAUGGAUCUUGGGAAAACUUGUGUGUCAGGUCAAUAUGCCAUGGAGGAUUGAGCAACGUUACUUGCGCGAUUGCUGCUUGCUGAUACGGAGCUAUGUAUGGAUACGUUGAGGUCAACAAGUGUAAUUACAUAACAGUUGAACUAAUGAAACAAAUAGCUGGACUUGGAAACCGGAUGAGUCAUAAGUGAACUUUCCGUCGCGUCAAAAGAUUCUACAUACCUAUACGUUCGGGAAGGGGAAAAUUUGAAUAGUUUGAUAGAUAAGGCAGGCUCUGAAAUACGCAAAGAUAUAAUAACAGAUGAAGCUGUUAGCAUUGCGGAAGCCAUUUACACACAUAUCCGGCAUUUUCUUGAUAACCUUGGAGACAAAUACCCCGAUUACAAGGUGUCAGAGCUUUUGAAAGUUUGAAGUUUUCACGAGGGCACUAAGAUCUGCUUUGCAGACGAAUUUGAUUACAUUGCAGUGCUAUCAGAAUUCUCAAAACCUGAUGUCGUUACCAUUGAAAGUAGUUUAAAUGAAAGAGAUGACGUGGAUCUUAAUUUUGGGCCCAAAAAGGCUGAAAUAUCAUAUGCACUUAUGGAACAGUUUUGUUCAAGAUUUUACAAUGUGGCGUUGACGGACAGGAGAGCUACCACAAGCAUUGGCCUUUACGACCAUCAAGAUAGGGCUGAGUGGAUGAUUUACCACCAGUAAAUAACAUAGAGCUGUCUGUACGAUUCUGUGAGGCAAGACUACCAAAUAUGGUUUGGGAGUUCCUCUACAAGGGCCGCAGAAUUUCUGUCGACAUUACUAUAGCCAUCAGGUAUAGUAAUGUAGAGGAACUUUACCAUCCAGAGUUUGCAACUAUACCAGAAGUUGGAAAAGCUGUUAUUGAAAGGGGUUCGCUUUUAAUUGUUGCUUAUAGGGAAGGCUUCAGGAAAACCUUUACUGAGACGGAAGUACAGUAUAUCCGCAUAAAAUUGGGUGAAAACCACAAAACUUUGUAUAUGUUUCUGAAACAUUUAAAAUACAAAUACGGGGAACAUCCUUUCUUACAGUUAAAUGGAUACAAACCAUUUUCGUCCUACAUGCUAAAAAUGGUUUGUAUCUAUCACGAGCAAAACUUUAAGGCUGAAACUGCUGAACACGAGUCAUGCCUCCAUGGUAUCGCACAAAUCAUAGACGACAGCAUUAACAGCGGAUAUCUUCACGAAGGAGAGAUUUUCAACGAAACCGCUAUUGGGUGUCUUCCAAGUAUAUUCAACAACUCCAGGAAUUUGUACAAAGACAUGUUCAAACCGGUGGAUCGUCUGAAAGCACUUCGGAAAGUAAUGAUACGCGAUAUACGAGAAAUAUUUCUUUCUGGGAGAAAAUGGUUGAGCCUUCAUCAUUUGUUGAAAGAAACAAAUGAUGCUAUUGCAGCGUCACCAGAAGAGGUGUGCAGAAAAGAUUGGUCGGUCUCACAUGGCCUUAUUAUGAUGAAAGUGAAAUGAGAUCAUAAAUUAUGAUCAACAGAAACAUUGUUCUACCUUUCUGCAGUAUUUUCUGGUAAUAUUUUUAAACAAGAGAUAAGUAGUUUAGUCUUUGAAAUAUCAUCAUUAAUAUUCAACAUCACACAAUAGUGCAAUAUGAAUUAAUGCAUUUUAAAACGUAUUUUGAUCCCCUGCCUGACCAUGUCAAGCCGCAAGAGUGAAUAUUUCCACAUGAACAAGUUUGAUUGCACUGUAGUAAAUUAGCUUAUUGUAUUAAUGUUGAUCAGAACUUUAAGAUGUGAUGCAUUAUUAUACAUUUUGCAAAAUAGCUACAUUUUGACAAUGUGUUUUAUACAAGAUUUCUUUAGCAUUCCUUACUUUAUAAACUUUAGCAUAUUUCGUCUUGUUUUAGCUGGCAGUACACAAGUAACUUGUAGUAAUAUGUCACUACUUAGAUAAAGAUUAGGACUACUGAAAAAAAAGAUUAAUUUAUUGCUCAUGCCGGUGUCUCUUUUCAAAAGAUGCAUUAGAGUUGUCAUUAUCUAACAUAAACUUCUACUGCGCGUUUUGUGUUAUAAAAAGUCACCUCUUAAAAAUAACGACCAUUUUGAUGUGAAAAAAGAGGAAAUUAGGUUAACAAAUACAUACUUGGGCUUUGUCGAAAUUUGUACUUUUUUGUAGACGGUUGUAACAGAAUUUUAACAGUAAUCUAAUGUUCUAUUUAUUAUACCUGCUAUGUAGAAUCAUUUUAAUCAAACUGAACAACUUCUAGACUGUAAAACAUAAUUAACUAUGCUGCCAAGUUACUUUUUAUCUGAAGUUCAUUUGCAAGUCGGAAACCAAUACUUACCAAGCAAACGUUAGGAAUGGGUUAAAUUUAUAUAGGCCAUAAAGCCGCUUGCUUCAGAAAAAAUAAAAAGUCCGUUUCCUCGACGACUUUAUUUUUCCAGACGCAAAAUUCCAUGUACAGAAGGCUGAAAUCCUGCACGAACGCUGCGGAUUAAUCAACUUCCGUUUCCCUGAGCGAUUCCGUUGUACCAUUUUCUUGUUGUAAUUGCAAAUACAUACGUUACGGUCUCAUAAUCCUGAUAAAAACUCAUUCAUAAAAAUCGUUACAAAAUAUAUCAUUAGUAGUGGUUUUCAAAAAUAAGAUGUUUUUGUUUCUUUUUUUUAAUGAGAUUGAAACAUGACGUCGGUCCAAAUUUUAGUUCAUCACUGACGUAAUAAAGCAACAUUUAUAAUACUAUUA
This is a long non-coding RNA of Mercenaria mercenaria, 3820 nucleotides long. RefSeq lists it as uncharacterized. Lineage: Eukaryota; Metazoa; Mollusca; Bivalvia; Venerida; Veneridae. The transcript has 3 exons. The record is from RefSeq and is a predicted model, not a curated record.